GACGAACGCUGGCGGCGUGCCUAAUACAUGCAAGUUGAGCGAUGAAGAUUGGUGCUUGCACCAAUUUGAAGAGCAGCGAACGGGUGAGUAACGCGUGGGGAAUCUGCCUUUGAGCGGGGGACAACAUUUGGAAACGAAUGCUAAUACCGCAUAACAACUUUAAACAUAAGUUUUAAGUUUGAAAGAUGCAAUUGCAUCACUCAAAGAUGAUCCCGCGUUGUAUUAGCUAGUUGGUGAGGUAAAGGCUCACCAAGGCGAUGAUACAUAGCCGACCUGAGAGGGUGAGCGGCCACAUUGGGACUGAGACACGGCCCAAACUCCUACGGGAGGCAGCAGUAGGGAAUCUUCGGCAAUGGACGAAAGGCUGACCGAGCAACGCCGCGUGAGUGAAGAAGGGUUUCGGAUCGUAAAACUCUGUUGGUAGAGAAGAACGUUGGUGAGAGUGGAAAGCUCAUCAAGUGACGGUAACUACCCAGAAAGGGACGGCUAACUACGUG
This 497-nucleotide ribosomal RNA is filed under the name uncultured bacterium. Its description in RNAcentral is "partial 16S ribosomal RNA". It matches the Rfam family "Bacterial small subunit ribosomal RNA", at positions 28 to 507 of the family's 1533-position model. The record is from RNAcentral.